This 1889-nucleotide long non-coding RNA is filed under the name Homo sapiens (human). Its description in RNAcentral is "HSALNT0156814". The record is from RNAcentral. Lineage: Eukaryota; Metazoa; Chordata; Mammalia; Primates; Hominidae.
ACCUGAGAGCUACAGACCCAAACCCGGGCCCGCCCCCACCGCGGGGGGCACCGCACCUCCAAAGAGAAGCACUCCAUCCGCAGAGGGGCUGAACCUAGGAUGGGGCCUCUCAUAACUCGGGUUUCUCUGAUGGGAGGCAGGAAACCCAAGGGGCCAUGGGGUGGGCAUCUAGCCUGCGCCUCUCCCCAGGACAGCCUGUGCCCACGGCCAUGCCUUUCUCCAGCCCGUGCCUGCAGCUCACCCACCUGCGCCCACGGCCUCGCUCCGGCCAGGUGACAGGCAAGGUCACGGUGUGUGACUCAUCAUGGAGCUGGCGGGGGCUUGCUGAUUUAUUCUGCCUUCCUCACGAGGAGCUGUGCUGACCCCGCCUGCCCGCCCGCUGGGCUUCCCCUCUGCCGUCACUGACUGUAUGAAGGGCGCGCGGCAGUGCACAUGCGCCGGCAGCCGGGGCUAACUGCCUAUGGGCUUGUGUGGGCCGUGAGGCUGGCCGACAUCAACACAGCUUGGGGAGGCGUCUGGCUGAGAAGAUCCCAGGGCUCUGUCUUUUUAGGAGAAACUCUGAUCAGCUGCUGCACCACAAACUGUGCAAAACAUAGGCUGCCGAAAGAGCUCCGAAAACCCGAGCUGAAAUCUCACGGGUGGCAAUGCCAGACCAGAAACACCAGCCACCAAAAGAGUUCCUCAAACCCGAGCUGAAGCUCACAGGUGGCGAUGCCAGACCAGAAACGCCGGCAUCUUCAGCUCAGUCCAAUAUAUUUUCUCCCGUGCAGGUUAAAAAGUACCAUGAUUAAUUUACCAGAAUCAAAUUUAUUUUAGACAUCCAAGUAAACUUCAGAAAAAUAUUAAGAAUAACUUAUUAAUACCCUGGCCUCAGGAGUUGCCCAGAGCACAAGUGUAAAAGCUCCAAGCCUAACUAGACUAAGGGGAAGACGGAGAAGCCGGGAGAGGAGAGCAGGUCUGCCUAGCGACAGCUGUGCGACUCCAGCGAAUUAGCUGGCCGGCGGCCACCACCACUAAGAGCCACACUGUCCUCCACUAAUAUGAUGGACAGAUUAGCAGGACACUUUCUUAAAGGAAAUGAGGCCAGCUAGAGAUUUCUGAACUCUGGAUGGCACCGUGGGGGAAAAAGCUGCCUGGGCAAUGUUCAUGCAUUCAUCUGAGGCACCUCCAGUCCUUCAAGAUUUCCUGUACUUUUCACAAAUCACUUUGCAAGGGAAGCGAUUUUUUCCUCACAUCCGGCAAUGACUUCAAAUAAGACGAAAAGAAGGCCCGCAGAGGCUUCACGCUGUGAGAGAGGGGAGGGCAAAGGUGAGAAGAGCCUCCUUUAUAAAAUCCUAAAGUAGGAGCCGUGGCAUUCAGGACAGCUCUGGGCCACCCCUUUCAUCCUUUGGGCAUUUAUUGGGGCAUGGGAGUCAGUGGGAACAGCUGACACCCCGCCUGGGCUCCGGCUGCGCUUCCACCUGGGGGAUAAGAGGAGACACACCAAAUCCACAGAUUUACAACCAGUUCCAGUUGUAAUAAGUACUAUGACUCAUUUAUGUUUGUGGGGACCUUAAGGCGUUUUGUAAAGCUGGGUUGAGCAUCUGCCAAGAUGAGCUUUAUUCUGACUGCGAUUUCCAACACGCCUAAGAGCCUUCACCGACGCGCCCACAAUCUGCCAGCCCUGAGUGAGGCAUCUGGAAGUCGGGGCCUGGGGUGGACGUCAGCCCCUCCCUGAUGUCAGGCCCCUGAGCUCCCUGCGUGCCCACCCUGUGUGGACAGGGUGGAGCUGAGCCCCCUGUGUGCCCACGCUGUGUGGACAGGGUGGAGCUGCCUUCUGAGGACACCCUCAAUGCCAUUAUUGAGCACUUCAGUGUGACGUGGAGCUUGUUUCCAAAGACAGAAUGUAG